This 499-nucleotide ribosomal RNA is filed under the name uncultured Glomeromycotina. RNAcentral's name for it is "SSU rRNA". It matches the Rfam family "Eukaryotic small subunit ribosomal RNA", at positions 591 to 1092 of the family's 1831-position model. Lineage: Eukaryota; Fungi; Glomeromycota. The record is from RNAcentral.
CCAAUAGCGUAUAUUAAAGUUGUUGCAGUUAAAAAGCUCGUAGUUGAAUUUCGGGAUCAGUACGCUGGUCGUGCCUUGGUAUGUACUGGUGUUACUGGUUCCUACCUUCUGACGAACCGUCAUGUCAUUAAUUUGGUGCGGCGGGAAAUCAGGACUGUUACUUUGAAAAAAUUAGAGUGUUUAAAGCAGGCUCGCGCUUGAAUACAUUAGCAUGGAAUAAUGAAAUAGGACGUUCGAUCCUAUUUUGUUGGUUUCUAGGAUUGACGUAAUGAUUAAUAGGGAUAGUUGGGGGCAUUAGUAUUCAAUUGUCAGAGGUGAAAUUCUUGGAUUUAUUGAAGACUAACUACUGCGAAAGCAUUUGCCAAGGAUGUUUUCAUUAAUCAAGAACGAAAGUUAGGGGAUCGAAGACGAUCAGAUACCGUCGUAGUCUUAACCAUAAACUAUGCCGACUAGGGAUCGGAUGAUGUUAAUUUUUUAAUGACUCAUUCGGCGCCUUACG